UCGGUUUGCUAUUGGUUUGUC
RNAcentral lists this non-coding RNA (21 nucleotides) under Arabidopsis thaliana (thale cress). The record is from RNAcentral. Lineage: Eukaryota; Viridiplantae; Streptophyta; Magnoliopsida; Brassicales; Brassicaceae.